CAGUAGCCACGGGAAUACGUAGGUGGCAAGCGUUGUCCGGAAUUAUUGGGCGUAAAGCGCGCGCAGGCGGAUCAGUCAGUCUGUCUUAAAAGUUCGGGGCUUAACCCCGUGAUGGGAUGGAAACUGCUGAUCUAGAGUAUCGGAGAGGAAAGUGGAAUUCCUAGUGUAGCGGUGAAAUGCGUAGAUAUUAGGAAGAACACCAGUGGCGAAGGCGACUUUCUGGACGAAAACUGACGCUGAGGCGCGAAAGCCAGGGGAGCGAACGGGAUUAGAUACCCCUGUAGUCCCUGUCUCUUAUACA
This 301-nucleotide ribosomal RNA is filed under the name uncultured bacterium. Its description in RNAcentral is "partial 16S ribosomal RNA". It matches the Rfam family "Bacterial small subunit ribosomal RNA", at positions 509 to 809 of the family's 1533-position model. The record is from RNAcentral.